RNAcentral lists this ribosomal RNA (442 nucleotides) under uncultured bacterium. RNAcentral describes it as "bacterial SSU rRNA". It matches the Rfam family "Bacterial small subunit ribosomal RNA", at positions 355 to 819 of the family's 1533-position model. The record is from RNAcentral.
UGGGGAAUAUUGGACAAUGGGCGCAAGCCUGAUCCAGCCAUGCCGCGUGAGUGACGAAGGUCUUCGGAUUGUAAAGCUCUUUUUGGCGGGGACGAUAAUGACGGUACCCGCAGAAUAAGCCCCGGCUAACUUCGUGCCAGCAGCCGCGGUAAUACGAAGGGGGCUAGCGUUGUUCGGAAUUACUGGGCGUAAAGCGCACGUAGGCGGACUGAUAAGUCAGGGGUGAAAUCCCGGGGCUCAACCUCGGAACUGCCUUUGAUACUGUUAGUCUCGAGUCCGGAAGAGGUGAGUGGAAUUCCUAGUGUAGAGGUGAAAUUCGUAGAUAUUAGGAAGAACACCAGUGGCGAAGGCGGCUCACUGGUCCGGUACUGACGCUGAGGUGCGAAAGCGUGGGGAGCAAACAGGAUUAGAUACCCCCGUAGUCCCUGAGCGGGCUGGCAAG